CCCGAGUGGUUAAGGGGGUGGACUUAAGAUCCACUGGACACGGUCCGCGUGGGUUCGAACCCCAC
Molecule: transfer RNA, 65 nt
Filed under: Perkinsus olseni
Lineage: Eukaryota; Perkinsozoa; Perkinsida; Perkinsidae
Description: tRNA-Leu
Rfam family: tRNA
About the family: Transfer RNA (tRNA) molecules are approximately 80 nucleotides in length.
Source: RNAcentral